CUAGCUGUAAACGAUGGAUACUAGGCGUUGAGAGUAUCGACCCUCUCAGUGUCGUAGCUAACGCGUUAAGUAUCCCGCCUGGGGAGUACGCGCGCAAGCGUGAAACUCAGAGGAAUUGACGGGGGCCCGCACAAGCGGUGGAGUAUGUGGUUUAAUUCGAUGCAACGCGAAGAACCUUACCAGGGCUUGACAUGUCCGGAACCCUGCCCAAAGGCGGGGGUGCCUACGGGAACCGGAACACAGGUGGUGC
This 250-nucleotide ribosomal RNA is filed under the name uncultured Chroococcidiopsis sp. Its description in RNAcentral is "partial 16S ribosomal RNA". It matches the Rfam family "Bacterial small subunit ribosomal RNA", at positions 796 to 1044 of the family's 1533-position model. Lineage: Bacteria; Bacillati; Cyanobacteriota; Cyanophyceae; Chroococcidiopsidales; Chroococcidiopsidaceae. The record is from RNAcentral.